RNAcentral lists this ribosomal RNA (497 nucleotides) under uncultured bacterium. RNAcentral's name for it is "partial 16S ribosomal RNA". It matches the Rfam family "Bacterial small subunit ribosomal RNA", at positions 28 to 507 of the family's 1533-position model. The record is from RNAcentral.
GAUGAACGCUGGCGGCGUGCCUAAUACAUGCAAGUCGAGCGAACAGAUGAGGAGCUUGCUCCUCUGACGUUAGCGGCGGACGGGUGAGUAACACGUGGAUAACCUACCUAUAAGACUGGGAUAACUUCGGGAAACCGGAGCUAAUACCGGAUAAUAUAUUGAACCGCAUGGUUCAAUAGUGAAAGACGGUUUUGCUGUCACUUAUAGAUGGUUCCGCGCCGCAUUAGCUAGUUGGUAAGGUAACGGCUUACCAAGGCAACGAUGCGUAGCCGACCUGAGAGGAUGAUCAGCCACACUGGAACUGAGACACGGUCCAGACUCCUACGGGAGGCAGCAGUAGGGAAUAUUCCGCAAUGGGCGAAAGCCUGACGGAGCAACGCCGCGUGAGUGAUGAAGGUCUUCGGAUCGUAAAACUCUGUUAUUAGGGAAGAACAAAUGUGUAAGUAACUAUGCACGUCUUGACGGUACCUAAUCAGAAAGCCACGGCUAACUACGUG